RNAcentral lists this transfer RNA (72 nucleotides) under Camelus bactrianus (Bactrian camel). It matches the Rfam family "tRNA". From Rfam's summary of the family: Transfer RNA (tRNA) molecules are approximately 80 nucleotides in length. Their secondary structure includes four short double-helical elements and three loops (D, anti-codon, and T loops). The record is from Rfam by way of RNAcentral. RNAcentral also lists the same sequence under 2 other names. Lineage: Eukaryota; Metazoa; Chordata; Mammalia; Artiodactyla; Camelidae.
GAAGGUAUAGCUCAAUGGUAGAGCAUAUGGUUAGCAUGCACGAGGUACUGGGUUCAAUCUCCUGUACCACCA